This 393-nucleotide ribosomal RNA is filed under the name uncultured bacterium. Its description in RNAcentral is "bacterial SSU rRNA". It matches the Rfam family "Bacterial small subunit ribosomal RNA", at positions 28 to 422 of the family's 1533-position model. The record is from RNAcentral.
GACGAACGCUGGCGGCGUGCUUAACACAUGCAAGUCGAGCGGUAAGGCCCUUUCGGGGGUACACGAGCGACGAACGGGUGAGUAACACGUGGGUGACCUGCCCUCAGUUCUGGGAUAAGCCUGGGAAACCGGGUCUAAUACUGGAUAUGACCUCAUGACGCAUGUUGUGGGGUGGAAAGCCUUGUGCGACUGAGGAUGGGCCCGCGGCCUAUCAGCUUGUUGGUGGGGUGAUGGCCUACCAAGGCGACGACGGGUAGCCGGCCUGAGAGGGCGACCGGCCACACUGGGACUGAGACACGGCCCAGACUCCUACGGGAGGCAGCAGUGGGGAAUCUUGCGCAAUGGGCGAAAGCCUGACGCAGCGACGCCGCGUGAGGGAUGACGGCCUGGUGU